Molecule: long non-coding RNA, 274 nt
Organism: Manacus vitellinus (golden-collared manakin)
Lineage: Eukaryota; Metazoa; Chordata; Aves; Passeriformes; Pipridae
Exons: 3
Source: RefSeq, a predicted model, not a curated record
AAGUACUGCACCUACUUAGUUCCAUAUACAGACAGAUCACUAGAUUCCUAGGGCUCUGAUGGCUGGGAAGUAGCAAGCCAGGCGGGAAUUAUCCUGGCCUCCCCCUGUGGAGCGAGACCUGCAGGAUUAUUCUUUCCUCUUGUGGAAACUUCCAGCCAACAACUUCUUUCAUGAGCAGCAUGAAUCCAGUUUCCUAUGGAGUCAGAAAUUUGAUUAUCCUUGAAGCACAUGUUGGAUUUUUUCUCUACUCUCUAAAGCCAACCAAAGUUUUCCA